This is a long non-coding RNA of Cyanistes caeruleus (blue tit), 1154 nucleotides long. RefSeq lists it as uncharacterized. NCBI's taxonomy places the organism in Eukaryota, Metazoa, Chordata, Aves, Passeriformes, Paridae. The record is from RefSeq and is a predicted model, not a curated record.
ACAUGUAUUGAAUAAAAAAAGAGAAAGUAAUACAAACCAGUGUUUACUUAAACAAUAGCCACUGACAGCAAGAGACACACAGAUGGAAACCCAGUUGCUUGUAUCUCAGUGGGAGCUUUCAUUUGAGGACCUUGAUGGGGAUGUGAUUGGACUGGAACACUCUAAUUUACAUCAUGGAGAAUCUAUCCUGAUGCCUUUUUCCUGAUGCUGCUGUGCCAAACUAGGUCUCCUGUGAGAAACUGGUCACAUGCAGGGAGAAGAAAGGAAAGACUUUAGUCUGAAUAAGAGGAAAAAGCAGAGUUUCAAGUACUGCAAAUACAGGCUAUCUUGCUGUAUAUUGUCUGCUAUUUUAUGGACACAAGUAAUGGCAGAACCUUUUUUUUUCUUUUUCUUUUUAUUUUUAGAAGAACAGUAAAGAGGACAGCAGAGGAGCUAUAGGGCAUAUUUGAUGUGUGGUGCAUAUUGCCCUAUAGGUUAAGGAAGGAACAGAAUUGCAUAAUGUCCUGCCUGGAAAUGGCCCAAAAUGUACUUUUUUAGUGUCACUUCAUUUACAAUGAUAGAAUGAAAGACUGGAGAGAAGUUGUCCAUUAUAAUGAAUGCAGAGCUCAUUCUUUCAUCCAGGGAAUCUUAGUGUCAGCAAAAUGUAUGGAGAGAUUCCUGACAGAAAAAGCCCUAGAUGUAAUGGAAAAUGCCAGCGAAGAGUUCUAUGAGAAAUCCUGAAUCCUCUUCUGCAUCACAUCACAGCUUUUGCACAAGGGCUGCAAAAGACAUCUGCUGACUGAAGCCAUCAGUCUGGUGGGCUGAAACACUUUUGGUUGCAAAGAAGAGAUUAAACUUGGACUCCAUUAAGUGACUGUAGUUGGAAGGCCUGAGUUAUUCCUUUAUAUGGAGCUACUGCACACUGGAAUCAGCUGCUGUCAGCAAAAACAGCCUAUCUGAAAACCUACAAAGCUCCACAAGCCUUAACAGCUUAACAGACCACUACAGAACAGAGGUGUGAAGUUUACUGAAGUCCAAUUGAUUAAAGUCACAUGCCAGUCUUAGCUGGAAAGCAAAGAAAAGAGAUUCAAACAAUUUCAGAGGAUGUAACUAAACCACAUGUGGUUUACCAUUGAUCUUUACCAUAAAUCAGAAGAAUGAUGAAAACUGUGGAA